RNAcentral lists this transfer RNA (94 nucleotides) under Taphrina deformans PYCC 5710. It matches the Rfam family "tRNA". Rfam says of the family: Transfer RNA (tRNA) molecules are approximately 80 nucleotides in length. Their secondary structure includes four short double-helical elements and three loops (D, anti-codon, and T loops). Further hydrogen bonds mediate the characteristic L-shaped molecular structure. tRNAs have two regions of fundamental functional importance: the anti-codon, which is responsible for specific mRNA codon recognition, and the 3' end, to which the tRNAs corresponding amino acid is attached (by aminoacyl-tRNA synthetases). tRNAs cope with the degeneracy of the genetic code in two manners: having more than one tRNA (with a specific anti-codon) for a particular amino acid; and 'wobble' base-pairing, i.e. permitting non-standard base-pairing at the 3rd anti-codon position. Lineage: Eukaryota; Fungi; Ascomycota; Taphrinomycetes; Taphrinales; Taphrinaceae. The record is from Rfam by way of RNAcentral.
GUCACUUUGGCCGAGUGGUUAAGGCGCCUGAUUCGAACCAUAAACGUUGUAUCAUGUGGGAUCUCCCGCGCAGGUUCAAAUCCUGCAGGUGACG